Molecule: long non-coding RNA, 1062 nt
Filed under: Ananas comosus (pineapple)
Lineage: Eukaryota; Viridiplantae; Streptophyta; Magnoliopsida; Poales; Bromeliaceae
Description: long non-coding RNA (ACOM_LNC032843)
Source: RNAcentral
GUUAACCACGCGAUGCAACGGACAGGUAUUAUCAAAAUAUUAGAGUUUUAAUCCAAUUCAAUCCUCCUUAAACAGAAACUAUCAAAUAAUCUCAAAAAAUACUGUAAAAUAGGUUAAAAAUAGAUAACAAAGAAAAAAAUAAGAGAGAGAGAAAAAAAAGAUAGAGGAACUCUCACUUGGGUGUGUAAGCAUAGAGGGUAAGGUUUGCUAUUGUUUUCGCCGCCACCUCAAUCUCUACUGCCAUUGCCUAUGCUUUCUUUCGCAGCCGCAGCCACCGCCGCCGCUUUGGUCUCUAUUGCCAUCACAUUCACCGCCUCCACCACCACUAUGAUCUGGAAUAUCUAAAAAACUCUACACAAAAAAAGAGGAGAUAGUGGGUUGGGGAGGAGAAAAAAAGGAGGCUGGGAGGAGGUGAAGCGGCGGACGUUGAGAAGAUAAGAAGAUACUAAAGUUAGGAGUUAAAAAAAAAAAAAAAAUAGAUCCCAUGUCUCAUGCUAAUUAAAUGAGAAUAGGAGAAGACAUCAAAAUUAGAAGUUCAAAAAAAAAGAAGAAAAAAGUAAAUGAAUGCCACACCUUUUACCAAAUGAAGGAGGUUAUAAUUUACUAUAGAAAAUGAGUAGGUUUUUAUUUUCAUAACAUGCAUAGGAGAGAAGGGGGCUUUCGUGUGAGUUUGUAUGGUUUACGAUUAUAUUAGGGUUAGGGUAGGUGGACGUAUUAAUUAAAUGUUAUAUGUGAAGGGAAGACGAAAGGUUCAGUUUUUUGUGUGGAUUUCUAAGUUUAUGAUUUAGAUAGGGUCAAAUUGGGUGGAUACGUUAAUUAGACGUUAUGUAUGUAGGGAAGGCGAAGGGUUGGUUUCAUAAGGUGAAAGCCAAGUGAAGAAAACACAACCACGUCGUAUUUUUUUAUUUUGGGGAUUAAUAUAUAAAACACAAUCACGUGGCAUUUUUUUAUUUUGGGGAUUAAUGUAUAGGUAUAGAUAACUAAUAAGAAAUGCAUAUAAAUAGAAAAUAUUAAUGUAUAAGUAUAGAUAACUAAAAAGAAAUUCAUGCAUAUAAACAGUAA